UACGAAGGGGGCUAGCGUUGUUCGGAAUCACUGGGCGUAAAGGGUGCGUAGGCGGGCUUUUAAGUCAGGGGUGAAAUCCUGGAGCUCAACUCCAGAACUGCCUUUGAUACUGAAGAUCUUGAGUCCGGGAGAGGUGAGUGGAACUGCGAGUGUAGAGGUGAAAUUCGUAGAUAUUCGCAAGAACACCAGUGGCGAAGGCGGCUCACUGGCCCGGUACUGACGCUGAGGUGCGAAAGCGUGGGGAGCAAACAGG
This 253-nucleotide ribosomal RNA is filed under the name uncultured bacterium. RNAcentral's name for it is "partial 16S ribosomal RNA". It matches the Rfam family "Bacterial small subunit ribosomal RNA", at positions 524 to 776 of the family's 1533-position model. The record is from RNAcentral.